UGCCAGACUCCUACGGGAGGCAGCAGUAGGGAAUAUUGCUCAAUGGGGGAAACCCUGAAGCAGCAACGCCGCGUGGAGGAUGAAGGUUUUAGGAUUGUAAACUCCUUUUGUUAGAGAAGAUUAUGACGGUAUCUAACGAAUAAGCACCGGCUAACUCCGUGCCAGCAGCCGCGGUAAUACGGAGGGUGCAAGCGUUACUCGGAAUCACUGGGCGUAAAGAGUGCGUAGGCGGGGUAAUAAGUCAGAUGUGAAAUCCUGUAGCUUAACUACAGAACUGCAUUUGAAACUGUUACUCUGGAGUGUGGGAGAGGUAGGUGGAAUUCUUGGUGUAGGGGUGAAAUCCGUAGAUAUCUGGAGGAACAUCAGUGGCGAAGGCGACUAUCUGGCACAUAACUGACGCUGAGGAGCGAAAGCGUGGGUAGCAAACAGGAUUAGAUACCCUCGUA
RNAcentral lists this ribosomal RNA (446 nucleotides) under uncultured bacterium. RNAcentral's name for it is "bacterial SSU rRNA". It matches the Rfam family "Bacterial small subunit ribosomal RNA", at positions 329 to 792 of the family's 1533-position model. The record is from RNAcentral.